Non-coding RNA from Phalacrocorax carbo (great cormorant), 6398 nucleotides. The record is from RefSeq and is a predicted model, not a curated record. Lineage: Eukaryota; Metazoa; Chordata; Aves; Suliformes; Phalacrocoracidae.
GCGGCCUCCUCCCGCGCCGGCGUGGGGGAGGAGCCGCCCUGCCCCGCCCCGGCUGAGGGGAAGCGGCGGCGCGGAGCUGUUUUGUGGGGAUGUUUACUUGACCUGAACCCACUCCCUCCCCCGCUCUAACGGGUGCUGGGGACGUCGUUUUAGCCGUCGCCUUGGCGGGAGGAAUAAGCGACCGGUUACUCGGACGCGGGAGCUGGGGUCUCUCCAGGGAGGCCGUGGCGCCUCCGCCGCCGUCACCCCCGAGCGGCUCCGAGGGGGAGGAGAGUGGCGGCAGCUGGGCGUUUGCUGGGCGCUGCGGAGCCCCGGGCUUGUAGCAGGGCCUGGGGUGCCGGGGCACGGGGGUGGGUUGGUGGGGGAUGGCCGUGGGCGAAAAUCCAGUGCAGCUCUUUGAAGCGUUUAUGGUUUUUCUGGCUGGGGGAAGAAAGUCCGGUCUGAGACUACUAAGCCAGCUCCGAGCUAGAGAAGUCUUUAAGCAUAAGCACCAGCAAGCAGUUCUGUGCCAGUUUAUUUCCCUCACUUACCAAGCUUGAGUUCUGGCUUGCAAAAGGUUUUUUUUUCUUUCUGUCUUUCCUUAUCAAACUGGAAGCAAUGAUUCAGGCAAGGUAGCCUAAGUUCACAGUUGCUGUUCAGGACUUUCUACUUGGAGUUCACGUGGGACUGGUGAGUUGGAAGAAACUUCAAGGUCCUCCUUAGCCUAAGCUGCCUCACAGUGUCCUGUGUACCCGGACCGUUGGCCCUGGAGCAGUCAGAGGGAGCUCAGCUUACAGGUUGGUCCCACGCCGAGGCUACGUCAGGCACCUGGCAAUAGUAAUUCACUAGGACUCUCCAGCCAGGUGCUAAGGUGGUCAUGCUUUGAAGUGUCCCACAGCUCAGCUUUUUGUUGACAGUGAAUUGUUGGGAUGGUUGAAGAGGCAUUGGCAUUUCCUUCAUAUGAACUCACAAGUCUACCUUUCUGGCUGUGCCAGUCUGGUAGCUUUUAAACAGAUAAAGACUUUUUAUUUGUGGUGUGUCAGGUCAACAACUUGAACAACAUUGACUUACGCUGCUUGUAAGAGGUGUGCGUCUAACUUGCUCAUAAAAACCUUCAAUACACUGAUCUUGCAGGACACCAAAUUCUGUUUCCAUAUUUCAUGACUUUUCUAUGAGAAAUAUUUCCCUGUGAACCAAAAAUAAGCGCUUUUUUUGCUUUUUUUUGUUUAUUUUCUUCCCUGUGGACAGACAAAAGAAAUUACUCAUAUCUAUAAAAUAUCUGGUUUUUCCACAUGAAAAAAAAGUUUUCCAUGUUCUUUUGUCAGUCAUUUUUCUCAUUUUCUCUCCUCUGUAUUUUUCCCAGUGUCUUAACAUUAUUUGUAAAAUGUGGAGUCCAAAAUAGCAGUUCUCAUGUGUCCAUAACCAGCCUCAUCACCUCAAAAUAAAGUUGUAUGAGUAUCUCCAGUCUUGCUCCUUUCUGACUGUGAUUUUUUUGGUUUUGGUUUUUUCCAACAGCAUCUGAAUUUUCUUUUUCAUCCUAGAUCCCUAUUCUAGAUGGUUACUACUGAAAUCUAUCUGUAUAUUUGGUAUUUCCUUAUUAAGCACUGUUUUUCCCUUCACUAAAUUUCAGUAACUUUGAUCAGAGCCACUCAGUUUUUCAAACAUAGUUGAUUUUUUUCUUUUCAUUCUAUCCCAGCCAUUUUGUUACCUAGGUUGUUCAUAAAAAUAGGUCUUGCCUGGACAGUAAGGCAUUGGAAAGCAGCAUGUGAAAUACUUCUCCUAGUUUAAAAACCCUUUACAAUAGAGGUUUUUUUCAGCCAUACUGAUUUCUUUUCUUGCAUUUUUCUUGUUUGUAAGAACAUAAUGCAAAGAGUGCCAAAAGCCUUCCUGAAGUCAAGGUGUGGCACACCUGCUUUUUGCUUUCAUACUAUGUAGCUUGUCAGAGAAGGAAAUAGGGUUGAUCGAUCAUUGUUUAUCCUUGAGGAAUCCAUCUUGUCUAUUUGCCACUUUUUGCAAGCUCUUGAACUUAUUCGUUGAAACUUUAAGUCACUUGUAUUGCAUAACACAGCCUUCCUCAGAAAGUUUUGGAACCAAUCUAAAGCACUGGCUAUCUUGGAAAUACAGACACUUUGUCUCCACCAGAAGACGUGAAGCGAACAAAACAGGGUGGAAAAACUUAAGCUUAUUUUGGAGGACCCUACUUUCCACAUAGAAGAGAGCUGCUUCCCCAUUAUUUUAUGUACAAGAAGUGAAGUUUUGUUAAUUACUUUUUAAAUUUAAUAAUUCAUUAACAAUUCUUAUCCAGUGUGAGUUUUCUCAGAAAAACAAGUUUUUGCCUUGUUUCCUAUGAAAGUUAGGCUUCCGCUUUCACAUAUCCGUGUGUGUAGGGGUCUGCCUCUAUGCUCCCUAUCCUAGUAAUGAAUACGAAAACUGGCACCUUUGCUGAAGGAAAAGCUGCAGUUGGGGUCAGCGGUUAAACCGAAUCAAGAAUUCGCACAAAAACAAGUCUUUCCAAGUGCUCCCUCUACAGGUAGGAACUUCAGCUGGCGUUCACUUUGUUCACAUGGGUUUGUGUGACCUCAACCACAGGAAACAAAGCUGCAGGAAACCAGGCUGUAAGAAGGUAAGGUCUGAUCCAGUAUAAGUAAAGCUUGUUGCUACUGGAGAUGGGGUAGCUCUGCCCCCACUAACCCACUCUUCGACCCUUCCUUGUUCUGGCACUAGCCGAGUCAUCUCUGAAUCAGGGAACUGGAGUGGCUAAGCUUUAUUUUUUCCAUAUUAGCUUUCAGACAAAUCCAUUUGGGGUCCCACAGCCACAGCAACGAACUAUAAUGCUUUUGACAGCUUUGCCAGAUGGAUUCCAUCUCUGCCCAGCAGUCCUCACUCCUCAAAAACGGUCCUGUCGAUGUCAAGGCUAAAGCCCAUUCUGUUACAGCAGUCACGCAGACAGGUAAUGACUCAGUCUCCUUUCCUACAGAAGCUUCUCCUCUGCCUGUAUUGGGGAAUAUGAAGGAGAAAUUGAACGCCCACUUGAGAGCAGAGAGGCCCUGCAGCCUGCAGAGAGACCUAGACAAAUUAGAGAGCUGGGCAAUCACCAACCAUGCGAAGUUUAACAAGGGUGCUUUUGGAAGCAUCAUGAAGGGCUCAGAUGCAUUUGGUCUCUGUACCUCCUGUGGAUAGAAGUCUCUGUUCCCUUCUUCACGUCAAUCUGACAGAUUGUUGUCUAUCUUGAAUGGACAAUUUAAUGCACAUUUCCUGUUUGCACAGAAAGAAUGAAACAAAUUAGUCUUUUAAUUCCCAGUCCUCCAUCCCUUGGGCUUCAUAAUAGGAUUCUUACUUGUGGAGCUGGAAUAUAGGCUUGUCUUCCACUGCUUUUUUUUAAUCUUUGCCUUCAAGAAAGUGAGUAUGGCUUGAAUGAUGUAAACCUUUAUGCUCUGGCUGGUUUGCUAGCUAUGUAAUCCAUAACAUAGCAGUCAUAUUAGAAUCUCUAUUAUUUUUUUAUGCCAUUUAGGCCCAGAGUGUUGGAAGCAGCAGAGGCUGUACACGUAGAGAACAUGGGGAAGAGGAGGGGCAGAGCAGCAAGUAUCUGCAGGACUCUGGGACAGGUAGUCGUGAGCACAGAAAUGAAAAUGCUUAGAUGUUCCCACUCAGGUAUGAGGAGCAUGAGUGCAGGGAGUAGAAAGAGUAGGGGUCUCUGGGCUGGGAGAAGUUGGGGAUUGGAGUGAGAGGAUUUAGGCAACAUGAGAAGAAAUACCUCUAGUGAAAAGUUGGAUUAGAGCAGGGGGUUUAGGGGCAAAGAGUUGAGAAAUUGAAAUUUUGGAGUGAAGAAGAGGGAAACUGGAGACUGGGCUUCUGAGCAGAGUACCUAGAAAUAUGUGCCUAUUAGGGAUAGGUGACUCAGGCUCUGAGGGUCCUAGUCCAGGCAGCUUUGGCUAGGAUUUCAGCUAACAGCUGGAACAUAUGUGCAAAGGCUGUUACCCCACAAUUUCUGUAGCCUCUUUGCUUUCAGAAAUACAUCAGUUUUACUAAAGGACAAUUAAUAUAUUUUUAAAAGACCUAAUCUAAGUUUCAUUGUUGCUUUUGAUCUGGUGAGAAAAGCUUGGAAAUGGGUUUAUUUUUUAAAACCUUUGUGUAGAAUGGUGUAGUAUUUAAUGAACAGUCUUAGUUAAAUGCUAUUAGAUAAACACUAAAAAUAAAAGUAAUGCAUUCUGAAAGACACAGUAUUUCUACAAUCACUAUAGUUAUUUAAUAUUUUACUCCCGAUCAACUACAUUGACAUAUUUUUGGGGGAUUGUAAAAAAACAGUUUUAAUAGAAUAUAUUUGGUUUUGAAGUACAAUCUUGAGACUACAUCUUCAAGCCAGUGCCACAAAAAAAAUAAAACUAGAGUUCUUCAGUUUCCCAGCUGUAUUCAUAUUUUAGUUUUUUGAACUCGUGGAAAUAUUUACCCAACCUCUGCUUUAUCCUUGUUUAUUCGCUAAGGACCUUUGCCACUGUUAUCAUUGCACCCUGUUUUUCCUUGCAAAUAACCUUGUUUUUCACUGGCCUGAUAUAAAAAUAAACAGUUUGGACAUGAUAAAUUUUAAUACAUUUUUCCCAUAAAAACUGGGAAAACAAAAGGAUCCUUGAAAUAACCUUGAAAUGGCUAACGAACCAACUGAAAAGAUAUGUUGUGGUUUUUUUUUAAUUCUCAGAAGGAUUAGAAAAUGUGUGCUCCUAUCACAAAGAUCACAAGAGCAUGGAGCAUUAGUGCUACACAGACAAUGUCAGAGAUCAGUGCAGAAGUCUAGUUAAACUGGCAUCAAGGUAAAUUUUAAUUUUUGUUUUUACUUUAGAGGCAAAACUUUUCUUAAUUUCCUUUAGAUCCCAGAAAUUGUUUUAACAAUGGUUUAAUAAAGUGGAAGGUAAAUAAAGAGUUACUGCACAGUCUCACAGGAAGCGAAAAAAAUGAAAACUUCCUGUUUACUCAUAGCAAGAAGUGAGACAACUUUAAGGGAAUUGGUUUGCUUAAAAGACAAUAGGAUAGGCAAGCCUGGUCACAUACAUAUUUUUUCAAAUUGAAAAUAUUUUUGUCUGAAAGAGUUAAAAAAGGCUUCCUUUUUAAAUCUUUUUGUAAAAAAGGUUUCUUUUUCUCUUUCAAUAGUAAUUAUUUUUUUCUUUUUCAGACACCUCCACUGAUGUCUUUUGGUGGCUGUAGAAAGUCAGGAACUGUCUAUGAUUCUGAGAGUCAGCAGAGUUGCUAAAGGAUUUGAGUUGAGAAACUAGAGGUUUAUUUCUAAGUAUUUGUGCAUUCCACUGAAUAGGCUUUUUCUUAAGUAUUUUAAAUUAGAAGAUGUUUUACUUUGGCAAAUACGUAUGUAGGCUCCUUUUCUAUUCAGCCAUUGUUGACGUAGAGGGUAGCACAUGCUUCUGCAUGUAUUUUCCUUCAUUUGAUUGAAUCUGAUUCAGAACUCCAGCCUUUUCGAGGUUAUUUCAGCACAGUUUCCCUCACUUGUCUUCAGGCUGUGAAGGUCACACCAAAGCUGUUAUUGCCAGCACAUGAGCUGUGCCAUUGUAGCCUUACAUUGUAAGCUAGGGAGUCUUUAAUUCCACAGAUCAGAAGGUGGACAAGUGUUAAUUUUUUUCCUUUCAUGAAAGUUCCUAUAUCGUCAUCUGUUGGCCAUUCAUACACUGGCUGAGAAGGGUAAACAUUACAUGUUAGAAAGGGAAAAAACCCAAGAGAAUUAAUUGUAAUGGGGCAACACCCCACCCCACCCCCCAUCAACUUGCAUUCGUUUCAGAUGGCAAAUUAUUAGGUGUUCAAUUUCUACAUGUUUAUUGAGAAUAUCUUGUUGCUCUGAUCAUGAGAUGUCAAAUAGUACAAAAUUUUGGAUGUCAAAGAUUCUGUCUUACAUUUCAUGGCAAUAACUAGGAGAAAAGUAAUUCUUCUGGCUUUAAGGUCCAGUUUAUUUUUAGUCGGAUUCCUCUUUGUUGGAAGAGUUUCUUCCUUUAUAGUUCUAUAGUUUACUUCUAUACCACUUGAAAAAGGGAUUUUUCAAUUCUUUAUUUCUAGUCAACAAAUGGAAAGAAGGGUUGUAUCGCAUCUUGACUUAAGAAAGCUCCUGUCUGCUAAGACUUAAAUUCCAGUGAUAUCAAUAGCCACUGUAAUCCCACCCUUUUUAACAGCAAAGCUUGUUUAGUUGUCGCUACCUUCAUGUCAUCAUACUUACUCAGCACAGAAAACGCUUGCAGUUUAUGGCAGUGCCAAGCCCUCAUCACCAUAAGGCUUGCCCUGUGCUGUGUUGACAGUCCUCUUGUCCAAGGCCUGUUCCUAUUCAGCAUUUUUUCCUGCUAUGUUUCUCAAUCCUGUUUGUAUUUUUUUCCAGGCUGACCUUCAUUUAUUUUAUGUGGUCAAAAAAUAAAUGAAAAUUGACAAAAUGA